UCAUAUGCUUGUCUCAAAGAUUAAGCCAUGCAUGUCUAAGUGCAUGCCGCAUUAAGGUGAAACCGCGAAUGGCUCAUUAAAUCAGUUAUGGUUCCUUAGAUCGUACCAUCCUACUUGGAUAACUGUGGUAAUUCUAGAGCUAAUACAUGCCGACCAGCUCCGACCCUCGUGGGGACGAGCGCUUUUAUUAGAACAAGACCAAUACGGAUCGCCGUCAAAAAACGGUCCGUCUCCCCUUUUGGUGACUCUGGAUAACUUGGAGCAGAUCGCACGGUCCUCGCACCGGCGACGCAUCUUUCAAAUGUCUGACUUAUCAACUGUCGAUGGUAGGUUAUAUGCCUACCAUGGUUGUAACGGGUAACGGGGAAUCAGGGUUCGAUUCCGGAGAGGGAGCCUGAGAAACGGCUACCACAUCCAAGGAAGGCAGCAGGCACGCAAAUUACCCACUCCCGGCACGGGGAGGUAGUGACGAAAAAUAACAAUACGAGACUCUUCCGAGGCCUCGUAAUUGGAAUGAGUACACUUUAAAACCUUUAACGAGGAUCUAUUGGAGGGCAAGUCUGGUGCCAGCAGCCGCGGUAAUUCCAGCUCCAAUAGCGUAUAUUAAAGUUGUUGCGGUUAAAAAGCUCGUAGUUGGAUCUCGGUGCCGGACCGGCGGUCCGCCUCGUUUGCGGUACACUGCCGGCCCCGGGGCCAUCCCGCCGGUUUUAUCCCUCGGUGCUCUUCGCUGAGUGUCUUGGGUGACCGGAACGUUUACUUUGAACAAAUUAGAGUGCUCAAAGCAGGCGCGUACCCGCCCGCAUAGCCCAGCAUGGAAUAAUGGAAUAGGACCUCGGUUCUAUUUUGUUGGUUUUUAGGAACCCGAGGUAAUGAUUAAUAGGGACAGACGGGGGCAUUCGUAUUGCGACGCUAGAGGUGAAAUUCUUGGACCGUCGCAAGACGAACUACUGCGAAAGCAUUUGCCAAGAAUGUUUUCAUUAAUCAAGAACGAAAGUUAGAGGUUCGAAGGCGAUCAGAUACCGCCCUAGUUCUAACCAUAAACGAUGCCGACCAGCGAUCCGCCGGAGUUCCUCCGAUGACUCGGCGGGCAGCUUCCGGGAAACCAAAGUGUUUGGGUUCCGGGGGAAGUAUGGUUGCAAAGCUGAAACUUAAAGGAAUUGACGGAAGGGCACCACCAGGAGUGGAGCCUGCGGCUUAAUUUGACUCAACACGGGGAAACUCACCCGGCCCGGACACCGGAAGGAUUGACAGAUUGAGAGCUCUUUCUUGAUUCGGUGGGUGGUGGUGCAUGGCCGUUCUUAGUUGGUGGAGCGAUUUGUCUGGUUAAUUCCGAUAACGAACGAGACUCUAGCCUGCUAAAUAGCUGGCCCAUACGAUCGGUGUGCCGUCUGUCGGCCAACCUUCCGCCGGGAUGUUCGCGUUUCGGUGGCGAGGGGGGUCGCGCGGUCUCCGGAGUGGGUCACUCGCUUCUUAGAGGGACAAGCGGCGCUCAGCCGCGCGAGAUUGAGCAAUAACAGGUCUGUGAUGCCCUUAGAUGUCCGGGGCCGCACGCGCGCUACAAUGGAAGGUUGAGCAGGUAUCGUUUCCCUAGUCCUAGAGGACCGGGUAACCCUGUGAGAUCCUUUCUUGGUUGGAAUCGGGGCCUGGAACCAACCCCGUGAACUAGGAAUUCCUAGUAGGCGCGAGUCAUCAACUCGCGCCGAUUACGUCCCUGCCCUUUGUACACACCGCCCGUCGCUACUACCGAUUGAAUGAUUUAGUGAGGUCUUCGGACUGGCGGUCGCGGCGGCUCUCGGGUCGCGGUGGCGUGCCGGGAAGAUGACCGAACUUGACCAUUUAGAGGAAGUAAAAGUCGUAACAAGGUUUCC
This 1868-nucleotide ribosomal RNA is filed under the name Paralamyctes sp. NZ. Its description in RNAcentral is "SSU rRNA". It matches the Rfam family "Eukaryotic small subunit ribosomal RNA". Lineage: Eukaryota; Metazoa; Arthropoda; Chilopoda; Lithobiomorpha; Henicopidae. The record is from RNAcentral.